Molecule: long non-coding RNA, 1442 nt
Filed under: Setaria italica (foxtail millet)
Lineage: Eukaryota; Viridiplantae; Streptophyta; Magnoliopsida; Poales; Poaceae
Description: long non-coding RNA (SITA_LNC006011)
Source: RNAcentral
UAAAAAUGGACAUAGGUCUUCGUAUUAGAUAAAGAUUUUGAUAAUGGAUUGAAACAAUUCACAUGAAAAUUACGCCAUUCCACAUUCAUAAUAAUGGCUAAAGAUACAUAUAAAUAUUAUACUAAUAACAAGACAAUAAAAAUACACAUGCACUAAAGAUUACAGACACUCCAUAGUGGACUUCACGUAGCCAAUUAUCCUAAAAUAAUGGUACAAUAUAAAAGGAAUCUUAAAAUAAUUGUCCAAAUGUCUUUUGGAGCAAGUGCCACAUUCUCAUAAUAGAAGUGUGGUGGCACACACACAAUAGCCCGUCCAGGCAAAAGAUCUAUCCACUGAGCAUGGCCCACGGAGGCAAGCCAAAACCAACCAAAAGCCGCUAGAUCUACGUCAGUGAAUAGAUCUUUGCCUGAAGAGGAUAUUGGGCCAACAUACUUCUAUUAUGAGAAUUAGGCUCCAAAAGGCGUUUGGAUAAUUAUUUCAAAAUUCUUUUAUGAUAUUCAGCCCGAGUUUGUGGACUCAAAGCUCUUCUAUUCUAUCAUUAUUUUCUGGUACUGGAGGAGCGGAAGUGACUCUCCAUAGACUUCAGAGAAGAUUGAAUUAUGUGUAGAGAAUAGCGUAAGCAUGUUCUGUUAACUGGGAUUGAAGGAUCAGAGGUGGUACACCUAUUGCCGGUCCAUCUGCAUCGUAUUACAUGGAAAAUGAACAUAAGAUUUCAUAUAGGAUUAUUGUUUAUAAUUUUUAGUUCUUACAUUAAACAUGAGGUAAAUAAAUUGUUCGUCAAAGAAAUACAAUUAUUAAUUGUUAAAUUAUAGUGACAUGAAAAAAUGAACCAAUGACCAAAUUCUAUUUUCUUACACCUACAAUUUAUUUACCUUAAUUUUAUUGCAAUGACUAAAUAUUAAAAACAUAUUUACUCUAAUUUUUUUCUCAUACAUAAUAUUAAAAUCCUCUUCAUUCUUCCUCACAUUCUAGCUCAAAAUCCUCUCCAUUUUAUCCUUCACAUUCUCCAACACAUCAAGUUGUUUUAACUAAUAUGAAUAACAAGCAAACUAUCCAUCACAUUCUAGCUCAAAAAUAUGUAUAAAUAAAAAUCCUCUCCAUUCUCCCUCAUUCUAAAAAACCCAUUUUUCUCCCUCUCUAAAUUAUAAAAUAAAGCAUAAUUACAAUAAAUGAAAGGAGGAUGAAGUAGCUAACCUUCACAAUACUUUGGAUCAGUGAAAUCCCCACGGAAAUGAGAAAAAAAAUUCAGGCAGCACCUCCCUAGAGUUGUUGUGUCGCCAUGGAGAGAGGAGGAUGAAGCUUUCUGGUGGAGUGGAGUGGCUCGGGCUGGAGGAGAAAGAAGAAGUCUCUGUCUUGCGAUUGUAUAGGGUAGGAGAUUUUGUCCUGGUUGGAAAUUCUAACCGGGACAAAAAUAAACCCCUUUUGUCCGGUUGGUAGUUUAC